This 2197-nucleotide ribosomal RNA is filed under the name freshwater metagenome. RNAcentral describes it as "bacterial LSU rRNA". It matches the Rfam family "Bacterial large subunit ribosomal RNA", at positions 1 to 2328 of the family's 2925-position model. The record is from RNAcentral.
GCGGGGGAGGGAAACGUGAGUGGAAAUCUUACCGGAUCCGGCAGUCGGUCUUGUAAGUCUGUCGUUAAAGCGUGGAGCUUAACUCCAUUUGAGCGAUGGAAACUGUAAGACUAGAGUGUGGUAGGGGCAGAGGGAAUUCCCUAAGUAGUGGCGAGCGAACGGGGAAGAGCCCAAACCAAUCGGGUUCCGGCUCGGUUGGGGUUGUAGGGCCGCGCCAUCAAAUGUUUAUUCGAAGUCUAACACAACUGGAAAGUUGGGCCAUAGAGGGUGAUAGCCCCUUUGACGUAUGAAUAUUCUAUUUGUAGCGGUACCCUGAGUAGGGCGGGACACGUGGAAUCCUGUCUGAAUCUACCAGGACCAUCUGGUAAGGCUAAAUACUCCUAGAUCACCGAUAGCGUACCAGUACCGUGAGGGAAAGGUGAAAAGUACCCUGAAUAAGGGAGUGAAAUAGUACCUGAAACCGUGUGCUUACAAGCGGUCGGAGCCCUUUAGUGGGGUGACGGCGUGCCUUUUGCAUAAUGAUCCUACGAGUUGCUCUUCACUAGCGAGGUUAAGGGUCUAAGGCCCGGAGCCGAAGCGAAAGCGAGUCUGAAUAGGGCGUAUAGUUAGUGGAGGCAGACGCGAAACCUUGUGAUCUACCCAUGACCAGGAUGAAGCUUUGGUAACACAAAGUGGAGGUCCGAACCGGUUGACGUUGAAAAGUCUUCGGAUGAGUUGUGGGUAGGGGUGAAAGGCCAAUCAAACUGGGAAAUAGCUCGUACUCCCCGAAAUGCAUUUAGGUGCAGCCUCAAGUAUAGUGUCAUAGAGGUAGAGCUACUGGUUGGAUGCGGGGGUUUCAUCGCCUACCAAAUCCUGUCAAACUCCGAAUGCUAUGACAUGUUUCUUGGGAGUGAGGGCCGGGGUGCUAAGGUCACGGUCCGAGAGGGAAAGAACCCAGACCAUCUGCUAAGGUCCCCAAAUAUGUGCUAAGUUGAUCAAACGAGGUCAGACUGCAUUGACAGCUAGGAUGUUGGCUUGGAAGCAGCCAUUCAUUUAAAGAGUGCGUAACAGCUCACUAGUCGAGCGGUCUGGCAUGGACAAUAAUCGGGCAUAAGCACAUUACCGAAGCAAUGGGCUCGUUAAGAGCGGUAGGGGAGCAUUCUGGUUGCGCUGAAGGUUGGCUGUGAGGCUGGCUGGAGCGGCUAGAAAAGAAAAUGUAGGAAUGAGUAACGAUAAUGCGGGUGAGAAACCCGCACACCGCAAACCCAAGGUUUCCUCAGCAAUGCUAAUCAGCUGAGGGUUAGUCGGGACCUAAGGCGAACCCGAACGGGGUAGUCGAUGGAGAACUGGUUAAUAUUCCAGUACCUGAUAUAACUGCGAUGGGGUGACGAAGGUGUGACAGCUCCGCGAACUGACGGAAUAGUUCGUUGAAGCCCGUAGGUAUAGGUUGGAUAGGCAAAUCCGUUCGACCUGCUGAAAGGUGAUAGUACUCCAAGGCUUCGGCUGCGGAGAUAGUGAGUGUAAUCAGACUUCCGAGAAAAACCUCUAAGCUUCAGGUUAUAUCAGCUCGUACCGUAAACCGACACAGGUGGGUGAGGAGAGUAUCCUCAGGUGCUCGAGUGAUUCAUGGCUAAGGAACUAGGCAAAAUCGCCCCGUAACUUCGGGAGAAGGGGCGCCCCCGCGAGGGGGCCGCAGUGAAAAGGCCCAGGCGACUGUUUAGCAAAAACACAGGACUCUGCUAAAUCGAAAGAUGAUGUAUAGGGUCUGACACCUGCCCGGUGCUGGAAGGUUAAGAGGAGGCGUCAUCGCAAGAGAAGCGCUGAAUUGAAGCCCCAGUAAACGGCGGCCGUAACUAUAACGGUCCUAAGGUAGCGAAAUUCCUUGUCGGGUAAGUUCCGACCUGCACGAAUGGUGUAACGAUCUGGGCACUGUCUCGGCCAUGAGCUCGGUGAAAUUGUAGUAUCGGUGAAGAUGCCGAUUACCCGUAGUGGGACGAAAAGACCCCGUGAACCUUCACUACAGCUUAGUAUUGACUUCGGAUAAUGGAUGUGUAGGAUAGGUGGGAGAUAAUGAAGCGUGGUCGCCAGGCUGCGUGGAAUCAUCCUUGAAAUACCACCCUUCUGUUAUUUGGAGCCUAACCCCGCAAGGGGGACAUUGCUUGGUGGGUAGUUUGACUGGGGAGAUCGGAAGAGCGUCGUGUAGGGAAAGAGUGUAGGC